GCGGGGUAAGGGUUUUCACUUUCGAAAAAUCGAUUUUUUUUUGUUUUAUCUUAUUGUUUAACAUUUCAAGAAUAUGUCCUCAAAAUUUUAAUCCGAUCUAAGCAAUAUUCUUGAAGUUAUUGUUUAAUUAGUCUCAGGGUCUUUAACGCUCUAACUCUAACAGCUACGGGCGGUUGGGAUUGCAGUGCAGCUGUCGAGCAGGUAUACAGGUUAUUCAUUGCUAUUGUCCUGAUCCCAUAUCCAGUUUUAGAAAUAUUUCAUUUAGUAAAGCCAGCAUCGAAACGACUGCUGAGAAAUUUCUUGUCUCCGCCGCAGACGAAGAAAAACAGCUAACACGUCAGUGUCGGCCCAAGCGCUCACGAGUAUGCAUCAUCUACGGACAGCAAUCGCAUUGAUAGGGCCGAGUUCCAAGCUGUGCAGCAGAGCAAAGAAGCCAGAAUAAAACGAAGACUUGAAAAAAAAACAGGCUGAAGCCAUCGACAAUGCUGAAGGAUGUGUGCUGUAUGGAGCUGGAAUUGAUGAUUCUGUAUAAUUUCCGGCCGAGU
Molecule: long non-coding RNA, 545 nt
Organism: Cotesia glomerata
Lineage: Eukaryota; Metazoa; Arthropoda; Insecta; Hymenoptera; Braconidae
Exons: 3
Source: RefSeq, a predicted model, not a curated record